CAACAACAAAGGCUGCAGUUCAGACUACAAAAGGUUCGAAAGUGACCACAGCACUGAUAACAAAAAUAAACACAUUAAAACAAACUACUAAAGAUAUUGCGGUUACAUCAGACAAAUCCUCGGUGAAAACAACAUUAAAGCCAAGCGCUGCAGGAGAGUCGCAAGCUGAACCUGUAUCAGAGCCUGCUGACACGGGCGCCACUAUAGGGGCCGUUGUAGGAGCGGUGAUUGGAGUUGCUGCAGUUGUUUGUGCUGUGAUACUAUUCUGGAAAUUAGGUCUAUUGAAAAAAUUCAGGGAGCACUAUUGCAAAAGGUCAAAGGUUGAUAACUAUGAUGUAGAAAAUGGCGAGGCUACACAGAAUGGAACAAAACCUGCAGAAAAAACAUUAAAAGCAUUGUAAAAGUUUAUAUUUCAACAGUCUCCAAUUUUAGAUCUCAGACUAAUCUUCUGUGCCCCAAGUUUAAUUGAAUAUGAGGACCAGUCUCACAACUCUCACAUCUGAUUGGAUGAUUCUAGGAGUAGUCAUGAA
This is a long non-coding RNA of Mercenaria mercenaria, 530 nucleotides long. RefSeq lists it as uncharacterized. The record is from RefSeq and is a predicted model, not a curated record. The transcript has 3 exons. Lineage: Eukaryota; Metazoa; Mollusca; Bivalvia; Venerida; Veneridae.